GACGAACGCUGGCGGCGUGCCUAAUACAUGCAAGUCGAACGCUUCUUUCCUCCCGAGUGCUUGCACUCAAUUGGAAAGAGGAGUGGCGGACGGGUGAGUAACACGUGGGUAACCUACCCAUCAGAGGGGGAUAACACUUGGAAACAGGUGCUAAUACCGCAUAACAGUUUAUGCCGCAUGGCAUAAGAGUGAAAGGCGCUUUCGGGUGUCGCUGAUGGAUGGACCCGCGGUGCAUUAGCUAGUUGGUGAGGUAACGGCUCACCAAGGCCACGGUGCAUAGCCGACCUGAGAGGGUGAUCGGCCACACUGGGACUGAGACACGGCCCAGACUCCUACGGGAGGCAGCAGUAGGGAAUCUUCGGCAAUGGACGAAAGUCUGACCGAGCAACGCCGCGUGAGUGAAGAAGGUUUUCGGAUCGUAAAACUCUGUUGUUAGAGAAGAACAAGGACGUUAGUAACUGAACGUCCCCUGACGGUAUCUAACCAGAAAGCCACGGCUAACUACGUG
Molecule: ribosomal RNA, 508 nt
Filed under: uncultured bacterium
Lineage: Bacteria
Description: partial 16S ribosomal RNA
Rfam family: Bacterial small subunit ribosomal RNA
Source: RNAcentral